GGGUUGUGAGGUUAAGCGACUAAGCGUACACGGUGGAUGCCCUGGCAGUCAGAGGCGAUGAAGGACGUGCUAAUCUGCGAUAAGCGUCGGUAAGGUGAUAUGAACCGUUAUAACCGGCGAUUUCCGAAUGGGGAAACCCAGUGUGAUUCGUCACACUAUCAUUAACUGAAUCCAUAGGUUAAUGAGGCGAACCGGGGGAACUGAAACAUCUAAGUACCCCGAGGAAAAGAAAUCAACCGAGAUUCCCCCAGUAGCGGCGAGCGAACGGGGAGGAGCCCAGAGCCUGAAUCAGUGUGUGUGUUAGUGGAAGCGUCUGGAAAGGCGCGCGAUACAGGGUGACAGCCCCGUACACAAAAAUGCACAUGCUGUGAGCUCGAUGAGUAGGGCGGGACACGUGGUAUCCUGUCUGAAUAUGGGGGGACCAUCCUCCAAGGCUAAAUACUCCUGACUGACCGAUAGUGAACCAGUACCGUGAGGGAAAGGCGAAAAGAACCCCGGCGAGGGGAGUGAAAAAGAACCUGAAACCGUGUACGUACAAGCAGUGGGAGCACGCUUAGGCGUGUGACUGCGUACCUUUUGUAUAAUGGGUCAGCGACUUAUAUUCUGUAGCAAGGUUAACCGAAUAGGGGAGCCGAAGGGAAACCGAGUCUUAACUGGGCGUUAAGUUGCAGGGUAUAGACCCGAAACCCGGUGAUCUAGCCAUGGGCAGGUUGAAGGUUGGGUAACACUAACUGGAGGACCGAACCGACUAAUGUUGAAAAAUUAGCGGAUGACUUGUGGCUGGGGGUGAAAGGCCAAUCAAACCGGGAGAUAGCUGGUUCUCCCCGAAAGCUAUUUAGGUAGCGCCUCGUGAAUUCAUCUCCGGGGGUAGAGCACUGUUUCGGCAAGGGGGUCAUCCCGACUUACCAACCCGAUGCAAACUGCGAAUACCGGAGAAUGUUAUCACGGGAGACACACGGCGGGUGCUAACGUCCGUCGUGAAGAGGGAAACAACCCAGACCGCCAGCUAAGGUCCCAAAGUCAUGGUUAAGUGGGAAACGAUGUGGGAAGGCCCAGACAGCCAGGAUGUUGGCUUAGAAGCAGCCAUCAUUUAAAGAAAGCGUAAUAGCUCACUGGUCGAGUCGGCCUGCGCGGAAGAUGUAACGGGGCUAAACCAUGCACCGAAGCUGCGGCAGCGACGCUUAUGCGUUGUUGGGUAGGGGAGCGUUCUGUAAGCCUGCGAAGGUGUGCUGUGAGGCAUGCUGGAGGUAUCAGAAGUGCGAAUGCUGACAUAAGUAACGAUAAAGCGGGUGAAAAGCCCGCUCGCCGGAAGACCAAGGGUUCCUGUCCAACGUUAAUCGGGGCAGGGUGAGUCGACCCCUAAGGCGAGGCCGAAAGGCGUAGUCGAUGGGAAACAGGUUAAUAUUCCUGUACUUGGUGUUACUGCGAAGGGGGGACGGAGAAGGCUAUGUUGGCCGGGCGACGGUUGUCCCGGUUUAAGCGUGUAGGCUGGUUUUCCAGGCAAAUCCGGAAAAUCAAGGCUGAGGCGUGAUGACGAGGCACUACGGUGCUGAAGCAACAAAUGCCCUGCUUCCAGGAAAAGCCUCUAAGCAUCAGGUAACAUCAAAUCGUACCCCAAACCGACACAGGUGGUCAGGUAGAGAAUACCAAGGCGCUUGAGAGAACUCGGGUGAAGGAACUAGGCAAAAUGGUGCCGUAACUUCGGGAGAAGGCACGCUGAUAUGUAGGUGAAGUCCCUCGCGGAUGGAGCUGAAAUCAGUCGAAGAUACCAGCUGGCUGCAACUGUUUAUUAAAAACACAGCACUGUGCAAACACGAAAGUGGACGUAUACGGUGUGACGCCUGCCCGGUGCCGGAAGGUUAAUUGAUGGGGUUAGCGCAAGCGAAGCUCUUGAUCGAAGCCCCGGUAAACGGCGGCCGUAACUAUAACGGUCCUAAGGUAGCGAAAUUCCUUGUCGGGUAAGUUCCGACCUGCACGAAUGGCGUAAUGAUGGCCAGGCUGUCUCCACCCGAGACUCAGUGAAAUUGAACUCGCUGUGAAGAUGCAGUGUACCCGCGGCAAGACGGAAAGACCCCGUGAACCUUUACUAUAGCUUGACACUGAACAUUGAGCCUUGAUGUGUAGGAUAGGUGGGAGGCUUUGAAGUGUGGACGCCAGUCUGCAUGGAGCCGACCUUGAAAUACCACCCUUUAAUGUUUGAUGUUCUAACGUUGACCCGUGAUCCGGGUUGCGGACAGUGUCUGGUGGGUAGUUUGACUGGGGCGGUCUCCUCCUAAAGAGUAACGGAGGAGCACGAAGGUUGGCUAAUCCUGGUCGGACAUCAGGAGGUUAGUGCAAUGGCAUAAGCCAGCUUGACUGCGAGCGUGACGGCGCGAGCAGGUGCGAAAGCAGGUCAUAGUGAUCCGGUGGUUCUGAAUGGAAGGGCCAUCGCUCAACGGAUAAAAGGUACUCCGGGGAUAACAGGCUGAUACCGCCCAAGAGUUCAUAUCGACGGCGGUGUUUGGCACCUCGAUGUCGGCUCAUCACAUCCUGGGGCUGAAGUAGGUCCCAAGGGUAUGGCUGUUCGCCAUUUAAAGUGGUACGCGAGCUGGGUUUAGAACGUCGUGAGACAGUUCGGUCCCUAUCUGCCGUGGGCGCUGGAGAACUGAGGGGGGCUGCUCCUAGUACGAGAGGACCGGAGUGGACGCAUCACUGGUGUUCGGGUUGUCAUGCCAAUGGCACUGCCCGGUAGCUAAAUGCGGAAGAGAUAAGUGCUGAAAGCAUCUAAGCACGAAACUUGCCCCGAGAUGAGUUCUCCCUGACUCCUUGAGAGUCCUGAAGGAACGUUGAAGACGACGACGUUGAUAGGCCGGGUGUGUAAGCGCAGCGAUGCGUUGAGCUAACCGGUACUAAUGAACCGUGAGGCUUAACCUUACAACGCCGAAGGUGUUU
Molecule: ribosomal RNA, 2931 nt
Filed under: Escherichia coli
Lineage: Bacteria; Pseudomonadati; Pseudomonadota; Gammaproteobacteria; Enterobacterales; Enterobacteriaceae
Description: 23S ribosomal RNA
Rfam family: Bacterial large subunit ribosomal RNA
Source: RNAcentral